GCUAUACAUGCAAGUCGAGCGAAUGGAUUAAGAGCUUGCUCUUAUGAAGUUAGCGGCGGACGGGUGAGUAACACGUGGGUAACCUGCCCAUAAGACUGGGAUAACUCCGGGAAACCGGGGCUAAUACCGGAUAACAUUUUGAACCGCAUGGUUCGAAAUUGAAAGGCGGCUUCGGCUGUCACUUAUGGAUGGACCCGCGUCGCAUUAGCUAGUUGGUGAGGUAACGGCUCACCAAGGCAACGAUGCGUAGCCGACCUGAGAGGGUGAUCGGCCACACUGGGACUGAGACACGGCCCAGACUCCUACGGGAGGCAGCAGUAGGGAAUCUUCCGCAAUGGACGAAAGUCUGACGGAGCAACGCCGCGUGAGUGAUGAAGGCUUUCGGGUCGUAAAACUCUGUUGUUAGGGAAGAACAAGUGCUAGUUGAAUAAGCUGGCACCUUGACGGUACCUAACCAGAAAGCCACGGCUAACUACGUGCCAGCAGCCGCGGUAAUACGUAGGUGGCAAGCGUUAUCCGGAAUUAUUGGGCGUAAAGCGCGCGCAGGUGGUUUCUUAAGUCUGAUGUGAAAGCCCACGGCUCAACCGUGGAGGGUCAUUGGAAACUGGGAGACUUGAGUGCAGAAGAGGAAAGUGGAAUUCCAUGUGUAGCGGUGAAAUGCGUAGAGAUAUGGAGGAACACCAGUGGCGAAGGCGACUUUCUGGUCUGUAACUGACACUGAGGCGCGAAAGCGUGGGGAGCAAACAGGAUUAGAUAC
This 757-nucleotide ribosomal RNA is filed under the name Bacillus cereus. RNAcentral's name for it is "bacterial SSU rRNA". It matches the Rfam family "Bacterial small subunit ribosomal RNA", at positions 48 to 785 of the family's 1533-position model. The record is from RNAcentral. Lineage: Bacteria; Bacillati; Bacillota; Bacilli; Caryophanales; Bacillaceae.